CAGGGAGAGCCAUAAAACCCAAGCCUAACCAAUCAGAUCCUUUCUUGGCGCUGUGUCUCUAAAUGCUGGUGGAAAGCAUCUUCCUCUUAGCUCUGGAGAGCCGGGGUGAUGUCAGCCGGAAGCUGCCUGGGUCCUUGCUGUGCCCUGGAAGGACAAACUGCAUGGGUAUGAGGCCAGUGCAGAGAGAAGAGAGCCACCCCAGCCGAGCGGCCAUCCAGCUUCCCAGGACAGACUAAACAGGACGUGAAAAGACAGUCAGCAGCGUUUUCAGUCGGUGUGGGCAAACGUUGAAAUGAAGUGUUUCAGUUGAAGGAGCUUUGAUUUCUGAGACAAACUACUGCGGCCCUCUGACGGCUGGAGUCGAUGGCUUUCCAUGGGCCGAGAAGAUGGAAAAUUUCCUCCCGGCCAGAUCCAGGGCACCCUGAUGUCUGGGGCUGAGCUGUUUUUCACUAUUGUCUCAAGAUGAUGGACACAAAAUAAAUACUUAUUCAGUGUGACUC
Non-coding RNA from Equus caballus (horse), 500 nucleotides. NCBI's taxonomy places the organism in Eukaryota, Metazoa, Chordata, Mammalia, Perissodactyla, Equidae. The record is from RefSeq and is a predicted model, not a curated record.